AACGCACAUUGCGCCCGUUAGCAUUCUAGCGGGCAUGCCUGUUCGAGCGUCAUUUCAACCCUCAGCAUCCCCUCUUUUGGGUGCUGGUGUUGGGGCUUCCUGCAGUUGCCGCAGGCCCUGAAAAUUAGUGGCGGGCUCCGCUAUACUCCGAGCGCAGUAAUAACUCUCGUUCAGGGCGUGUAGCGGGGGUAUCUAGCCUCCCCUAUAUAUCUAUAUUAUGGUUGACCUCGGAUCAGGUAGGAAUACCCGCUGAACUUAA
This 259-nucleotide unclassified non-coding RNA is filed under the name uncultured fungus. RNAcentral describes it as "sequence contains ITS2". The record is from RNAcentral. Lineage: Eukaryota; Fungi.